GGGUUAUGGUCUGAGUGCAGGUAGAUGGGACUAGGGGAGAAUACGUGUUCGGCACGGACUAGAAGGGCCGAGAUGGCCUGUUUCCAUGCUGUAAUUGUUAUAUGGUUGUACAAACGUUAAAUCCUUUUAAACUGACAUGGGUAAUGGUAAUGCUUUGGUUGAAUUUAUCUAAAUGUUUAAAAGGUGUUCAAUAAGAAGCACCAAUAAGCUAACAAUGUCAGAAUGGGUGGUUAAUUCCAAUGGAAGCAAGUGAAUUAUGAAGUUCUGCAAGGGGCUACUGUUUGAAUUUUACAUUUAUGAUUUAGGCAAUGGAAAUAAAUACAAUUAUGUAAUGAAGGUCUUAGCAUAUUGUGGGGGAAAGGGAAAGAUGGUGGUGGGAGGUUUUGGAGGUAGGGGGUGGUAGCAAGCAGACAAUGUGGUUCCUAAAGAGACUGCCAACAAAUUACAGGAUGAUAUUAAUCAGCUUGCAGGAUGGGCAAAUAACAAGAAAAUUAAGUUCUGUAUAAAUAUGAACAAGUAUAUUUUGAUAGAAUAAAAUGGGCAUUUGUCAUUUGGAAGAUGUGAGUGUGGAUUAGAGGCAAGAAUUUGGAUGAUCCAUUUCAAUUACUAUAACAAUAGAUAAUAGGUGCAGGAGUAGGCCAUUCGGCCCUUCGAGCCAGCACCACCAUUCAAUGUGAUCAUGGCUGAUCAUCCCCAAUCAGUACCCCGUUCCUGCCUUCUCCCCAUAUCCCCUAACUACACUAUAACUACCCAAAGAAUUGUGAGAAUAUGGAAUCCAUUACCACAAGAAAUGGAUAGAGCAGUACGGAUGUACUUUGAGACGUUGAGCAAGUUGCAGUAGGAGGGAAUAGAUGACGUCCUAGAUACAGCACAAGACCAGGCCCAUUGCCUGUCAUUUCAGCCAUCAACUGCCCUUUUGCACUAAUCCUACGUUGAUUAUUUUGUUUUUAAGUCCCUCAGAAUUGUCAUCAACAAUCCCCACCCCCCAGGAUUCUACCAUUCCUUUACAUGCAGUAGAGGCAGCUUUUAUUUUGUGGCCUAUUAACCUACCAAACUGCAUGUAUGGGAUGUUGUAGGAAAUGAAGCACCCAGAGGAAGCCAAAACAGUCAUAGUGAGAACAUGUUGACUACAGAUAGAAAGCAACUGAGGUUGGGAUUGAAACAGAGUCUCUGGCGCUGUGAUGCAGUGGCUGUACUGGCAGUGCUAUUUUACCACCCAAUUAGUCAAUUGUGAAAAUAAGAAAUAACUUGUGGAAGAUAAAUUUCAGCAUGUUGCUCGUCAAUGGCCAGUUAACCUUUGCUGUCCCAGUUCUCCCAGCGAUCUUACUUUCAGACUAUAUUCUAUCUGUCCCGCCCACUCCCCUGACAUCAGUUUGAAGAAGGGUCUCAAACCGAAACGUCACCAUUCCUUCUCUCCAGAGAUGCUGCCUGUCCCACUAAGUUACUCGAGCAUUUUGUGUCUGCCAACACAUUAGCAGUGCAGACAUCUAAUUUAGAAGACACAAGGAACUGGAUGCUGGUUUACAAAUAAAUACCGGUGCUGGAAUGACACACAGUAGGCCAGGCAAUAUUUUUGUCGCCAUGGACAGCAACAGCGAGAUUUCAGGCCAGAACCCUUCAUACCCAAUAGUUUGAAGAAGGGCUCGACCCGAAACAUCUCCUGUCCUUGUCUUCCACAGAUGCCCCUACCUGCUGAAUGACCUCAUCACUUUGGGUUUUUCUUAAGGGGCUGUGGUUUGUCUAAGAAUGUGGAGCACUAUAGGAUAGAUUAUAAGAAUUAGCCAUGUCAUUUGUUUAAUUAAAAGACGAGUUUACUAUGUAGAAGUAAAUUAGAAACAAUUUUUACUAAACAAGCAGUUUUUUCCCCCAAGCAGUUCCCCAAGCAAGCUAAACAACAGUUUACCCCUUGGUCGAAAAGACCAGGAUACACCAAGAAACGCAAUAAUCAAAUUGCUGACUUUGAGAAGAAGGGUCUCGGCCCGAAAAGUCGCCUACCUUCUCUCUAUAGAUGCUGCCUCACCCGCUGAGUUUCUCCAGCAUUUUGUGUCUACCUUUUGAGUAUUUGAAGCUGGCUUUUCUGGUUCGGUACUGUAGGAUCCUUUUGUAGGUUGAUAUGGCCACUUUCAGAUGGUGUGAUAUCAAGAUUCAAGGCAUAAUUUGCCAGCCCAUUUUAAUCAGCUGGAUUAUAAGUCCAGGAUCUCAAGGAAAUUGACAUUAUUUAUAUUUAUUGAUAAUUUUCAAUUUGAUAAUUGUCGCAGGUAGUGAUUAACAUGUUAACAAUAGGUAAGCAGAGCAUCCCUCGUAUUUAUCAUUUAUUAACAUAUUGGUUAUUUGCUACUGUAGAAUAACUUUUUAAGCGUGGUGUCUUGCAGGAAAAGAUAAAUCAUUUUUUAGAAGUCCCUGUUCUAUUGUAGAUUUCUUAACUAAAUGUAAUUGGAUAUGUUCAGUGAAAGGUCAUGAUCAUUAAUAAUCAUGAAUGUGUGUGCCUCUGCUGUUGAUUAUCUAAUUAAAAUGUAACAUGGAUGUAACAGUAGGAUCACACGUAACAAUUCAGGAAGAGCUAGCUUCUAGUGUUGGAGGUCAACAAAUUAACUUGAGGAAUUAUACAUUCCCUAGACCAAUAUAAGUAGUAUUCGCUGCAGAAAAUAAAUGUAGACAUAACAGAUUAUUGCUCUCAUUUUAAAUAAAAUCUUCCCAUGUAUAUUUAUCCAU
Molecule: long non-coding RNA, 2712 nt
Organism: Amblyraja radiata (thorny skate)
Lineage: Eukaryota; Metazoa; Chordata; Chondrichthyes; Rajiformes; Rajidae
Exons: 2
Source: RefSeq, a predicted model, not a curated record